UAGCUACAAUCAUGACGAUCGGAGUAUCGAUGUUCACCGCAAAACAACUCGCCGCACCGGCAUCGGAAUCCGGUCAAUCCUACCUUCCUUCGACAACCGGAGCAACGAUUCACCUCUCUCUUAGCCGGCGGUAAGCUUGCCUUCAGUUGAUCCUCCUCCUUUACCAUCAUCGUAUCUCCAACUUUCUUCAGAUCUUGACUCAUCCUGUCCAGAUCAGACUUCCUGUCCGGCGACGACCUCAACGAGCUGAAUCUCGCCGAUUUUUCAGAUCUGACCAAUUUUUCAGCGAAAUUGUGAGGAAUCGUCACCGACGUCCCCGUCGGCGAGCUGGAUGAAGUUGAGGUAGCCGCGGUGGUGGCGUUGAAGCACUUUUGACACAUAUUGUUUGUGGCUGGAUUUCCUGUAACUCCACAAUUGUUGAUGCAAAGCGUUAUCGUUUCAGGUACGGCCUUGAACUCCGUCUCUUCUUUCUCCGUUCUCUGAGCCAUUUUUCUUUUUGUGUGUGUAAAAUUUUAAAAUUAUGACAAAAUUCGGUUGCCUGCUUCAAUCUAGAAAGAGAAAAUACGAAAUUUGUAGAGGGGAUGGGGAGAGUAGUUUGUGGUUUGGUUUGGAUGAAGAAAUGGGAAAGAGGGGAAGGGGAAAUGGAGGUUUUAAGGAGGAGAGAGGUCGGUAAUGGCGAUGGAAUAAUGGCCUCAUUGGAUACGCGUAUCAGGCAAAUUGUGGGGUGAGGGUGAUGUAUUGACGAUAAUACCCCUAUAAAUUUUGGGGUAAUUAUGGAACAAUUUAAUGGGUGAGGGGGUGUGCUUCUUUCUAGAUUAGGUCUGACGUGUUAUUUACUUAAUCGUCACUUUUGAGGAUAUCUUUUUUAAAAAAAUAAAAAAAAAGAGCUACAGUAUUUCAUUUGUGUUUCGGUGACCUCUUUUUUAAAAAAUAGGGGAUAUAUGUUAUACAGGCUGGAUAAGGUAUGGAAAAUGGCUCUUUUUAUUAAGAGGACAGCUUAUAGAUGUUCAUGUUUUUACGAUUUCCAUGCUUGAACUCCUUGCUGCCCAUCCCUUCCAACUCUCACAAAUUAAAUACGUCCAAAUAUGUAACGUGUUAAAUGGCAUAAAUGUUAUAUAAAGUUGAAUAAUAGAUAUAUUGUUAUGAAUUUUUUUUUUGAAAUCAAACUAUAAGAACUUUGAUCAAUAUUUUACAAUAUUUUUUCAUCAUAUUGAUGUGUAAAAAAGUUACUAUUUAUAGUACUUUUUAUACAGUUUUUGAAUAUCUAAAUUUUUUGAAAAAAAAUAUCAAAUUAAUAUAAUUUAAUUUAACUUUAAAAAUUAAUUAAAUUAACUUUUGAAAAGCGUAAUAUAACAAAUAAAAAUGACCGGAGUAGAACGUUAUAUAGAGGGUAUGUGCCUAUUUGCAUACCCUAAUAUUGGAGGACAUCUUAUGCCAUUAAAAGUUUCUUUUUAUACUUGUCUCAACUAUUGAGACAUGACUAUUUAACUAGGGCAUAAAAAAAUUAAAAAUAAAAUGAUCUAAAAUAAAUUUAAAAUAGUUAUAUGACUACUAAUGGUGAAUUUAUUGUUAGAAUCUUUAAUUGGUUUUGGUUGAAAAAAAAUUAAUAGUUGAGUAACGAAUAAGUUUAGUAGAUCAUUUUUUGGAAGACUUUUCUUUAUAAUUCGCACUUAAAAGAAUAAUUAGAUCCUUAUUUCCCAGAAAGAGCAUGAGCUAAUUGUUAAUCAUUCAUUCUAGAUCGUUUUUAGAGUCUUUUAAGAAUUACAAUAACGGGUUGAUUGUAUUUAUUGCUAUAUAUAUUCAUUAAUAUAUUUAAUAUAGUUGGUUUUCAUAAACAGAUUGGAUAUAAGAGUUUUUAAUACAAUUGUAUUCAUUGGUACAGAUUAGUUGUUUCUUUUCUAUUUGUUAUAUGAUUAACGGUUAGAUAUAAAAAUCAAUCAUAUCUCUCGUGCCUCUCGUCUCUCACCUUUCCUCUUUCUAGUUCGCCUCUCUCCUCCCUUCUCUCUCUCAAAUCUCAUCCAUCCCUCUAGUAGCUAAUUUUUAUAUUAUUCAAUUGUACUUGUGAUACAAUUAUCAAUCAAAUAUAAAAAUCAAUUGUAUCUCUCUCAUUUGUAUCCUUCUCCAAGUAUGUAGUUACGAAUGGUAAUAAAUAAAAUAUUAACUAAAGAGCCUGAUUAUAUCUCUAAUGUUAGCUGUUUUUGAAUUUUCUCUUAAUUAUAAGAUGUUAUUUGACUAAAUUAUCGUCUUUAAAGGGGUUAUUUCUUUUAACAUGUGUCACGACCCAAAUUCGAGCCGCGACUGGCACCCACACUUACCCUCCUAUGUGAGCGAACCAACCAAUCUAACCUUAACAUUUCAAUAUAAUAUCAACAGAAAGUAAUGCGGAAGACUUAAACUCAUUAAAUAAAGACCAAUUCAUUAACUUCUAAAAUUCAACAUCUAUUAUUCCCCAAAAUCUGAAAGUCAUCAUCACAAGAUCAUCUAUGAUCGAAUUACUAAACUAAGAGUAUUCUAAAAGCUAAAACAAAUAAAAGCUAGUCCAUGUCGGGACUUCAAGGCAUCAAGACAUGAGGAAGAAGAUCCAGUCCAAGCUAGAAGCAUUAGCUCACCCUGAAGAUCCGGUGUGACGAAGACUAGCUAGAAUUACUGUUGAGUUGAAGACGAUGGCACGUUUGCUGCACUCCACAAAUAACAAAGAAGAAAACAAUAAAAGUAGGGGUCAAUACAAAACACGGGUACUGAGUAGAUAUCAUCGGCCAACUCAAAAUAGAAAACAAUAUAUAUACGAAGUAAUAUCAUAAAAUCAACUAUGAUACUCAACAUGUAGCAACAGCAAGUACUAUAUCAUUAGCAAUUACCAUCAAGUUCACACAUGAGGACUCAAGCCUCAAUACCAUACUCGUUUGGGAAUUAUGUUCUUUAGAUUGAGUAUAUUAACAUCUUUCAAGAUUCAUUAUCUUUAUUUCUCUUGUGUCGGUACGUGACACUCCGCUCUCUCAUAUUCAUUAAUCCUCUUGUGUCGGUACGUGACACUCCCAUCCCCUAAAUCUACGUGUCGGUUCGUGACACCCGAUCCCCUAAUUCUACGUGUCGGUUCGUGACACCCGAUCCCCUAAAUCUACGUGUCAGUUCGUGACACCCGAUCUCCUAAGUCUACGUGUCGAUUCGUGACACCCGAUCCCCUAAAUCUACGUAUCGGUUCGUGACACCCGAUCCCCUAAAUCUACGUGUCGGUUCGUGACACCCGAUCCCCUAAAUCUACGUGUCGGUUCGUGACACCCAAUCCCCUAAUCUCAUUCUAUCAACUCAUCAAGCCUUCUCCCUUACCAAGGCAUCAUCAAUCUCAUUACUUUAGUUCAUCAAGCUUUCUCCCUUACCAAGGCAUCAUCAUUAAAAAGAGAUUAGGUUUUUAUCAAGAUUCGGGAUUCAAUAAUCUCAUCAUGCUUAAUAUAAUCACAAUUAUAUAAUCACGUUCAUGCAUGCAUAUAAUUAAGCAUAUAGAAGGGUUUACAACACUACCCAAUACAUAUCAUUCGCUAUUAAGAGUUUACUACGAAUAGCAUAAAAAACCAUAACCUACCUCCACCGAAGAUUCGUGAUCAAGCAAGCAAAUUUUCCCAAAGCUUUGUGUUUUUCCCCUUCUCGAUCGUCUCUCUCUCUAUCGAUUCCCUUCUCUCUCUUUCUGUUCUUUUCUUUUUCUUAUUCCAACCCUCUUUCUUUUACCCUAAUUAGUAUCUAAUUAAGAAUAAAAGGUGGCAAUAAUGACCCACUAAUUAACUUAAGGUUACCUCUUUUAACCCCCAAGUAAUUAGACUUAUUAACAUUAACUCUCUAACUUUAUAAUUAAAGUAGGAAUAGUCCAAAACGUCCCUUAAAACGUGUCCAUGACGAUCCGUCGUGGGUUCCGUCGUCUCAGCCUGUUUUUCCAGAAAUAAAAUCUGCUGCUCAAAACGACUAAACAGGUCGUUACAACAUGUCAUAUGGCCGUGCUAAAUAAUUCAGCACGCAUGAACACUUAAAGAAUGUAUUAAAAGAAUUUGAUCUAUACACAACGUUUUACAAUACUAUAUCCAAGUUCUCGUGUGAGAAUGUCUUUUUUUAAGGGCGAGUUGCUAAAUAAUAUUUAUUUAGAUGUAUAAAAUAAAUCCAAUAAUACAUAGAAAAGGUUGAGUAAUUCUUUCGUCACAUGAAUAGUGUAGUGUGAUUUUGUGAUACAUAAGCAAUGUUGAGCGACUGUUUUAUUAUAAUUUUUUUUUUUUAAAAAAAAGUAGGUUAAUCAUUUCUUUAGUAAUUAAGUAUACUGUAAAAUAUAAGGAAUCACCUCUAAAACUAAUUUUAUAUUUUUAGGUUAAUCAUUUCUUUAGUAAUUAAGUAUACUGUAAAAUACAAGGAAUCACCUCUAAAACUAAUUUUAUAUUUUCACAAACAUUUUUUAAGCAAUCCCUCUUGUGUCUUUCUUUAUUCCCUUAGUGAUCUAGUAUUAAAAGGCUUAUCCAAACUUGCAAGAUAAGUAAAAAAUUUAUAAGCAAAUUAUCAAAUGAUGAAACUUAAGUAAAUAUCUAUGUGAUACUAUAAAUCAUAUACAGACAAGUAAUGAAGAUUAGGUCAAAGAAUCAACCUCUAAGCAAAUAUCAAAACACAAAUUAAAAAAUAGUAACGUUAAAGGGCCAAGUUGAUUGAGUGGCCAAUUUUUCUAAUAAAAAUUUAAACGUUUUACUUUUAUUUCUUACAUUGCAAAUGGCUGUCUCUCUAGACUUACCAAUGAGAUUAAUUUGUUCACUUUGGGCACGUGAAAUGGUAACUUACUAAAUAAAAAAAGGUCCAAUUUCCACAGGAAAUUGCAAUACAACUUGGUUUCCUCCUUGUUUCCCCACCACUUGACUUUGAUUUGCCUAAAGACGGCAAAUUUAUUUAUUGAAAAGAAAAAAUUAGUAUUAUCUUUUGGGCCUAGUGGUCAUACAUGCAAGUAGAGGUAUAUUUGUAAUUUCCACACACCUUGUACCCCACAAGUUGAGCGGCUUUGAGUUGAUAAAGGAGAAAGGAAAGCAGAAAAGGCAAAAUGUCUCAGCUCCAGCUUUACAGCCGCCCACUCUGACCAUCUUCCUUUUUUUUUUCCCCUUGGGUUGUCCUUCUUGUGAGAAGAGAAAAAAAUAUUCUGAUAUUUGUACUAUUAAAAAAUGUGUUAAUUUACAACUAAUUAAAAAUUAUUGAAGUACAAAGUUGAGGUUAUCUUGCGUUUUGUAUGAUAAAAAAAUUACUAAUUGCCUUUAUAUGUAACUUUAUGAGUGACAAAUAGAUUCAUGAAUUUUGUGUAUUAAGAAAUUGUAGGGGAAUAGAUUUUAAUCAAAAGAUGUUUUACGCCUUGGUGCUAUUUUUCUUAAUUUAAUAGUGAGAUAGGAUACAAUAGAUUCUUAAUACUUUUUAUGAUUUGAAUUAGUUUUUUAUUACGAGGGUGCUAGAUAGCGUAAAUGAUCAUUAAAUAAUAUUUUGAAUAUUUGUUGGGAUAGUGGUUUGAAAUUAAUAUGUGGAAAAGUGAGUGAAGUCGCUUGUUUCAUUUGUGAAGGCAAUUUCCCUGAGAAAGACAAUAAAAGUACCAAAUCAUAUAAAUAUAUUCUUUACGAUAAGGAAACUUACUAUUGCUAUCUUUUCGAGUGUGCAUAAGAUAAAAUCUCAUUUCUAUGCAAUAGCUCGUAAAUUACAUAGGAGAGGUAACUCACAUUAGGCAAGUCUGAUGCGACAAGCUCAAUCUAGAAGGCAAAAACCCCUUGCUUUCGCUGGCAAAGGAUUUCGAACUUGAGACCUCCAACGUGGAAGUUUCAAGCUCAAACUACUGGACCACCCCGAAGGGUUACCUAAUCAUAUAAAUAUUUCUACAAUUUUUUUAAUUUUUCAUAAUUUGAAAUAAUUACGUAUAUUAAUUAAUAAAUUUAUAUGUAAUUAACGCAAUAUACGCUAUAAAUAUACUCAAAAUUGUUAAUACAUUUGAAAGAAGACAAGCGACAUGAAGAAAAGCAAGUGAAAACUCAAAUGCAUAUAAAAACACAUUAGAGAUACAUUCUACAUACACAUAAAAGGAGAAAUUUAAAUAAAUAUAUUAAUAUUUUAUAUUUAAAAUAAGUUAUACUUAAUUUUUGUCCUUAAGUCAAAAAUAAUCUAUCUAGAUGUACUAAACUUAUGUAUGUGGUGAUCCAAACUGGCAUGAUAAGUAAUUUUAGAAACUCAGGAAAAGUCACGUAAUUAAACUCUAACCUAAUGAAUUUGUGAUGUUUAAUAUAAUUGGACACCUAAAACACCACAAAAUGACUUCCUUUUUUUAGUGGAAUAAUAUUAUUGAAAAAUAAGCAAUAUGAUGUGGAUGUAAUAUUUGAUGACAUCCACGUGGCACCUUGAAGCAGUGGACGUGUAUUCUUUGUAUGUAGGCGUAGUCUAAUUUUCCUCUUAACCUCCCCGCGUCACGUAAUGCGCUUCCUUAAAAGAUUCUACGGCCACAUUAUGGAACCCACCAAUCAUAUAAUACCAUUUGAAAAGAAUUAAGAAAAUGUCCUUCUCUUUUGUUUGGUUUAUAUAUAAAAGGGGAUGAACAGAAAGAAAAUGGCAAAAGGUAUACUUAGUUUUGGGAUCAUAAACAAUACAAUUAGAUAGAAAUUAAAGAGACUUCGUUUUUAAAAAAAAAAAAUUCUUGAUGUCAAUUCCUAUCCCUCCCAAGCUGCCUAGCAAUAGUAAGGCAAGUAGAAAAAUUGUGUUACGCACUUUGCUUAGAAAUGAGGAGAGAAAUGAAGGCAAAUCGAAGCAUUUUCUACUUUUCUUUUGUAACGAGUGAGAAUUAUUUUUUAAAAUUGACUUUCAUUUUUAUUUUUAUUUGUUAUUUAUAAUAUAUAUAAAAAAUAUAAUUUUUUAUUUCAUGUUUUAACCUUAAGACUUAUUAAUAUUUCAUACUAAACACCGAUUAAUAUAAUAAUAUUUAGAAUAUUAAUCAUUAUAUAAAUGUAAAGUAAAUAAAUAAACAUAAACGGAGGUAGUGCUUUUAUACAUACUGAGCCCACAAAAUUGUUCUCCGUUAUUUAGUACUCCCCAUUUUCUACAAUUUCCGUUUCUUCCACUUAUUUUCUGACACGAACUUGCUUUCUCAUUUAUAUUUUUUUCUCCUUUUCUUUUUUCCUAAUAUAUCUUCCUAAAUUACAUUGACAUAGGAAAAGGUAUAACAGCUCAAAUUGCAUGUUUAAAUGUCUAGGUUUAUUUUCACCCUACUUGUCAGCAGAGACUUUUCUGAUUUUGUAAUGUUUGAAUCAUUAAAAAUGUUCUAAAUUUUUUGUCAGCGAAAAUAAGAAAUUUGAUUUUUGAAUUGAACUUGUCGCACUAAGUUUAUCUAGUGUGAGUUAUCUUUUUUAUGUGAUUUACGAGUUAUUGCAUAGGAGCAAAAUUUUUAUCCUAUGUAUAUCCAAAAAUAACAAUGAUAAAAUUCUCUUGUCAUAAAAAAAAAAUUAAUAAAAAUCCGUAAAAAGACGUCUGAAGAAAAAUAUAAUGCGACGGUGUGAACGUAGAAGAAAUUGUUUUGUUUUAAUUCCUUCUAAUAAGUUUGAAAAUAUUUCCUAAAAAUACAAUUGCUUCACUUUAACUUUUUUAUUUUUGAAUCCAUGACUUUUUUUAAAAAAUAAUUGCUCAAUAUAUUCUUGAAUCCAUGACUUUUAAAAUUGGGAAAAAGGGUGAAUUUUAUUGAUUGAUAAUAUCAUAUUGUUAAAUUAAAGUUAUUUGCUUUCCUGUCAUUACUAAUUUUACCAUCCAUUUAUAUGCUCAAUUUGAUGAAAAUCUAAGUUGACCAAAAUUAUCGAAUUUCACUUAAAUUAUUGAAUUUCAUCUUUUUGAUCCGAAUUUAAAUUUAACCAGCUAAACAAAACUCAAGGAAAUCAAAUCCCAAAAUCAAUUUCUUCUCUCAUCUUCUUACUCCCUGAAUUAGAAAAAUAUUUUCAUCUCUUAACUCUAUACAAACUUCAUACAUUUGCAACAACAUAUAAUUUCAUUAGCUUGCCAAUUCAACUUUUUUUUACUUUAAAGAGAUUUUCAUUAGAAUCUGCCCUCCCAAAAUAACAAAGCAAAUUCACAAGAUCAAAAUUGUAUCAAUCUGUUUUUUCAAGCUUAGUCGUCUCUUUGAAAAACUUUUUUAUGCAAAAAGAGCAAUCAAUAUUCAUAAAUACAAAAAUCAAAUCCAUUAACUAAUAUCUUUUAUCAAGCAUCCAGAACGAUAGCCACAAAAACGCCAAGCAGCCAACAAAAGCAUAGACCCAAUGCUGAAUUGAUCCCAAAACUAAUCGCUGUUGCAAAUCUCGCUUACCACCGACAAUCGAAAAGUGUAAAAAAGAGGAGUAUGCGACAGCAGAGUUCAGUUUUUUACCUCAAUAAAAGAUCAUGUGCAUCACUUUUGCUUGCCAAUAUGAGUUCUUGCCCUUUGGGUUCUUAAAGGAGAUGAAUUUUGGGAGAAGAUGAUGGGUGUUUUGUUGAUUUGUUGGGCAAGUUUUUGAGUUUUUGGUUCAGAAACAGGAGUUGAAGAAGGUUCGGGUUAAGUUAGUUGGAUCGAUUUGGGUCAAAAUAGAUAAUUAGAUAACUUUAUUAAAAUUGAAUAAAUUUUGGCGAAUUUGGGGCUUUUCGUCCAUAAAGGAUAUAAAUAGUGAAAUUAAAAACAACAGGUUAAAAAUAAUUAUUUAAUGAUAAGAGAUGAUUAACUAAGAUUCACUUCUCUUUAAAAUAAAUAAAUUAAGUGGAAUAAUAGAAAUCUUGUAACUCGGUAUAAGAUCGAGAAUUGAUUGAUACUCAAAGUAAAAACUAACAUCAAAGUAAAAACUGAUGUUUAAUGUUGUGAUUAUAGUACUAAAAUUCUAGACGGGAUAUGUAAUCUCAAAUCCUCAUAUAUACCUUUGUUCAAUGUAGAGUCAUAAUUUAUCGUGUAUUGAUAUAUCGUAAUUUACUCAAAAAGAUUUUUUAAUUAUAAAAUUAUGAAGAUCGAACAUUAAGAGAGAGCAUCAAAUAAAAUUAUAUUUUAUAUCAAUAAAUUCAUGGCAUUCAUGUUAAGUUAUCAAACGAAUCAUGUUAAGAAAGUCAAAAUUUCUACAUGUGCAUUAGCCAACAGGAUAAUGAAAAACUCAAGUUUGCAUGAAUCGCAUAAACCAUCAAAGUCUUAUGAGCGAGGAUUUUAUUUUUACUUUUAACUUUUAUUUUUGUGUAUUUAUAUCAUCAUAAAAUAGUUGGCUGAAUCUCAUUUGAUUUAUUUCAUUUUUUCUUGAUCUAUAAGCCUUUUAAAAACAAUAAAAAUAUCUAAAAAGUAAUUAAAAUUAUGGACGAUUAUAGAUGAAUAAUGUGUUCAAACUCUUAUGUUUUCUUUUUAAUACCACAAAAAUUAACUCAGCCGUAUUAAUUUUAAAUAGAACCAAGAUAAUAUUACGUACUUUGAAAAAAUUAAAAUUGAAAAAUUAGAUUUUAAUUUUUAAUUAUAUAAAAUAAAAUAACUAAAAAUUAGAUAUGAUAUAAAUUUUACAAACCUACCAUCGAAAGUAUCGUUAUACCCAUAAUAACUAUAGUAAACGAACAAGUUCAUGAAAGAAUGUGUUUUUCCCUUGGCUAUUAGUUUGUUACGUGGCAAGUUGUGAACUAGGAUGUAUAGUAUGUCUUUUUGCUAGUUCACAUGUGAUUAUUUCUCAAAGUGGUCCCUUACUGCAACUAUUUUGUGGGACCAGCCAAGGUAUUGGCCCCACAUUUUCUUUUAUAAAUUUUGCCUAGAAGACUGGGUCCCACUUUAGUCUUUAUGUUCCUUUUUUUUUUUCUACUUUUUGGAAAUACUAUUCAAAUUGAGGCAUAAAAAAAGUUCUAGAAAUAACGCAAUCAUUUGAUACUUGAAUUUUUUUUUAUCCAAUAGACAUAAAGUGCUUCAAGAAUGCAUUUAUUCCAAAUAAGAUACAUAAUAAAUUAAAUAAUGCAUAUUCCUCCUGCACAAAUUCACCUUCUUUUUUUUAAUUAAAAUUUUUAUCUGUUGAAUAGGUUAUAGUAAAAUUUUGAGAUUCUUAUUGUCGUUUUGAUAAAAUUAGCUUUUGAGAUGUCUAAUGCUUUAUUGGUGUUAAUGUUGAAUUACAUAGUAGUUCACUAAUAAUAAAGAAAUAAUAUAAGCGCAAUUACUUUUGCAAUGCUUGAUUAGCCUUUAUCAUUGCUAAUACCCACAUAAAUUAUAUGUAAAGAUAUACGUAUUAUUUAGACAUGAUAAAAUAAAAAUGUGUAUAUUAGCGAAUAUAUGAAACAUAAGUAUAAUGUUUAUUCACUCACUUUUAUAGCUCUCGGUCCCUUUUUUUGUCAAAAUUAACACCUAUUAUUAUUAUUAUUCAUAAAAGCAAAGAGUGAAGAUCCAAUUGGCAAAUAAUAAUCGUCAUCAAACCAAGUUCCCCUGUUCCUUACAUACCCCCAUAAGGCAUAUACAGUUUAGUUUACAUGUUGUUCAUGUGAAAAUUAUGAUGUAAGCAUUGUUUAUACAGGGAAUAAUAAUAAAAAUAUAUUAUUAUAGUAUGACAUAAUAUAAUACAUGAAUUGUUAUAUAAUACUAGCAGUAGUAUAUAUCCUUUACAGUCUUUUUUUUUGCUAAUAUGUAACAAUAUAUUCAGAAUCUCACAAAGUGGAUUCUGAAUAUGCAUUGAUAUAUAUAUAUAUAUAUACACACACGUGUUCUAGUUAAGCGAGAAUCAUUAUAAUAAGUGAAUAUUAAUUAUGUUAGAGAUUAUAUAUCCCAGUAACCCGUUGAACCAAUUAUCAUAUACUCGUAUAUAGUGAAUGUAGAAAAUUAAAUAGAUGCACGAAUUGUGUCUCAUAUACAAAAACUAAGAUACAUUUCUAAUAAUAUUUAAUUAUAAUAAAUUUACAUGAUUUGAUGAAUAUGUACACGAAUUUUUUUUUUGUUUUAAAUACGUAAGUAAAUGUAUUUAUAUAUAAUCUAAACAAAUAUUAUAUGAGAGGGAGAGAGGAUAGGUGAGUGUGGAGUGGUGAAGAUGGCAAUGGGCUGGCUAUGCAAGAUGAAAAUGAGGUACAUUGUAAAAUGGAUGAGAUAAACUCACGAAAUUCAUUUUCCCUACUUUAACUAUAUAAAAAAAUUAUUAUCUUUAACGAACUCUUUUUUCAGAAAGACUAUUGAUCAAUCGAACAAAAAAAAAUUAAAGAAC
This 11189-nucleotide long non-coding RNA is filed under the name Solanum lycopersicum (tomato). Its description in RNAcentral is "long non-coding RNA (SLYC_LNC000475)". Lineage: Eukaryota; Viridiplantae; Streptophyta; Magnoliopsida; Solanales; Solanaceae. The record is from RNAcentral.